Sapajus apella (tufted capuchin) is the source of this 3766-nucleotide long non-coding RNA. RefSeq lists it as uncharacterized. The transcript has 2 exons. The record is from RefSeq and is a predicted model, not a curated record. Lineage: Eukaryota; Metazoa; Chordata; Mammalia; Primates; Cebidae.
GUGUUGUUUCUAAACUGAACUUUAUUUUGCUUAGCUAACAAGUUAUUUGAAAAAAAAAAGAAAAAGAAAAAAAGCAACCCAAAGCAACAUAUCCUUCUUUUCUUUCCCUUUUUUUUUUUUUUAAUGUUAUUCCAUCCUGGAAUAAUAAUAUUCAUCAGCUAACGGAAAGUCAGCUACUUCAAAUAGCACUAAUGGAACUGCUAAAUAUACUGAUUAGGGCUUUUUACUUUUUAAAAUUUAUAGUGAAGUACUUAAUAAAGGAUUCUCUCUUUUUCGGGAAACUCUUUUACUAUAUGGAAGCAUGAGUGUGUUUCUCUUAAUAGACUUUCAGCCUUUACUAACACUUUCCAUGUUUUAUAACUCCCAGGUUGGCUAAAAGUAAUAAUGCCAGUUGACAUGUGAUCGACACAAACAUUUUUUAUUUGGUGACUUAAUGUUCUUGGGAGGUUAUUUGGGGUAGUUUUCAUUCUUGAAGUUGUCAAUGGUAGAGAAAAAGAAAAUUAAAGCAAAACUACAUCAUGUGCAAAGGAGAACAAUUUUUAAUUUGAGAAAAUUUGCUCAUGUAAUUUUUUUUUUUUAAUAGAGCACUCUCUGUCAGAAUAUUUCUGGCCACUUUUGUCCCCAACAUACAAGUAUAAGGGUUGAUUUCUAACUGUUCAUGUUCAAGUCUGUGACUGCAACAUCAAUAUUUAGCAGGCUACUUCCUCUAAUGAUAUCUGUGGUGGAAGGUGAAACAUUAAAGAACCCUAUUAGCCAGGCAUGUCAUGUCACGUUACAAAUUAGCAGGGGUCCUCAGAUGUGGAUUGGAAUCACCUGUGGAGCUUAAAAAACGCUCAUACCCAUGUCCUAAAUUCAGAGAUUCCUAAGCUGUUUUAGAAUGGGGCCCAGGCAUCAGCAUUUCUCAAAAGUUCCCCCACAUAAUUCUAGCACAGCCAUAAUUGAGAUCUAUUUAUAUAUAGAUUCAUUCAAGUACCUACCCUCUUAAAAAUGAAUCUUGAAAGUUUUAACAAGAGUAAUUUCUCUAGGAAGUCUUUUUUGGAAUUGAUUCAUUUUAAAUUGCAGAAAGAUUUAGUGAGAAUACCAACAGAAAAUCAUGGUCUUGGCCAGUUUUAUGAAUAAAUAAAAAAAAAUAAAGACUGCAUAAGACUAUAUUAAACUAUAUUAUGCUAGUGUAUGUUUUUCACUGAAAUAAUCAUACUGAGUUUAAAAAUUAUGUAUAUAAAAUAAUUAUGGACUCAUGGGGGCAUAAGCAACUUUUAUUAAACUAAUAGCAAAUGUUUAUUUCUUUAAAACAUACAGGUUACAAAACCAUCUUUUAAAUAAAUGUUUAAAAAUUCACUACCUUUGGUGACAGAGAUUUUAUUUGCACAAGAAUGACAAAAAAAAAAAUUACCUUCCUUCACUACUCUUAGCACUGUCCAUCUAAAUCCCAGACUUAAUGCAAUGAGUUCGAGAUAUUUUACCUCCUGACAAUUUCACAGUUAUCUUUAUCUGUUAUCACUGACAUAUAAGCCAUAUCUAUUUUCUGAUUUAGCAAUAGGAAAAAUCUGGGAGAAAUUAAUUUAAAAUAUAAUGUUUCUUUUCUAGAAGCAAAACAUUUCUAUCUCUGAGCUCUAUACCAUAUAGUAAAGUUAUUUUAAUCAGUUUGCCUCUUUUGACCUGGGGUGCUUUUCUUCCUAUUUGAUACCUUUAUCACUGAUGAUUUUAGAAUAGACCCAUUUUAGUUGGCUUCAAGAUAAGAUAUCAACACCUACAUGAUACACUCAUGAAAUAAUAACACUCAUAUUUUGGUGACUUUUUGAAUUUAUGCUGUUAUAUAAUACCACAAAUUAUAUAAUCAUAAGACUUCAACCUCUGUGGCCUGUCAACUCCAAACUGCAGCUAGACGGAUAUGAAACUACUUGACAGAGUGGUAGUCUCAUUGUUAGACUCAUGGAUGAGGAAAAGACCUGUGGAUUUUUCCAACCUAUUCUCUGCAAGAUGAGGCUAAUUUAUCUUUAGGCAAACACCUUUCCCUGGGUCUCCCUGGGACAAUUAUGUCAUUCAUGCUAGGACAUUCUGUAGCAUUUGGAAGAUAACCAUUGUCCUGAAUGUUUGGCUAUAGUUUUGUUUAAAAGUAGUAAUUGGUUUCAGAUGAAGCUUUGCAUAAGCUCAAUUUCUAGGGUUCUAUGAAUAUGUAAAUAACAUUAAAUUUUCUUCAGGGGAAAUGAUAGAUGAAUCCAAUAAGCUUUCUGGGUAGCAUUCAAUUUGCUAUUAUAUGAGAUAAAGGAUAAAAAUCAAGCUAAUUGAUCAAUUAUAUUUAUUCAGGGAUCUAGAAAAAACAAUUUGUUUUUCUUAAUCCAGAGCAAAGAAUUGUAAGGACUGCUGUAUACAGGUUAAGCUUCUUACUGAAGAUGUCUUUCUGGGUGAGCCCUAGGGAAGGGGGUUUCACCCAUUCCUUGGGGUAAGGAGUCAGCCUUACCCCAGGAGAAGGGCAGGGGAAUCCACAGAUUUAUUCCCUUAUCCAUGAAUCUGACAAUGAGGCUAUCAACAUUAUAAGCAGUUUUCUAUCUAGCUACAUUUUGGUGUUUGUAAUCCACUCAGGUGAAAGUUCUGUGAUUGCACAGUUAGCAAAUUUGAUAUGACAGUAUAAUCUUGAAAAAAAAAUCAGAAACAUUAGAAAUAUAAGUCACAAUUUAGUGAGUAUGUCAUUUUUUAAAGAAAAAAUAAAAAAAUAAUAACUAUUUAUGAGGUCCCAAAGUUUUAUAUAAAAAUGAAAAAGCUGUUUUGGAGUUAGAAAUUACUGUAGCCUUCUGUCAAAUUAGUCUUGACAACUGUUAGAAGACAUUAUCAUCAAAAAUAGGGCAGCAUUUCACUCUGUGUGUCAAAUAUAAUCAACAUACAUGGCUUUAAGAAAGUGUGACCAUUUUCCCGUAGUGACACAAGCAAGAAGCUGGAAUAGGAGUUUGUUUGUUUGUUUGUUUUAACUUUACUCCCCUCACAGAAAUCCAACAAGCAACUAUCCACAGGCCGGAAUACCAUCCCAAAUAUUCACGAACUUGGGAGUGAGGCUGAGACAACCCCUUGGACUGCAGAACUGAGAAAAGCCACAACUGAAUGGAGGCAGCUUCAGGUCAAUGAUUACCCAUGGGAAGAGCAUCUGGCCACCACCAAACCUUGGUGCUCUACUCUACCCUAGACCAGUAGGUAAGCCCAAGUCCACAAAUAUCUAUAGGGCAUAUCAUCUGGCCUUGUCCAUCUUGCCUGGCUGCAUAAAAACCACAGAAAUCUCACCUAGUAUGGGAGCCUGUCAUAGGGCCAUGCCCAACCACAGGUUCCAAGCCACAGUGCUGCCGAGUCAGGGAAGACAACUUGCAACUCUACCUAAUCAGACAUGACUGCAGAGCCCAACCAGCAGCCUCACCUGAUGGCAAAGUUCAGUUAGUGAUUUCACUGAUCACAGAGCACAGCCAGCAAUACUAUUUGAUCUCAGAGCACAAGAAACAACCCAGCCCAAUUAUAGAACCUGACACUAAGCAAAGGCUGCCAGCUACCCAUCUAGAAUCUCAGGGUAGACUAAAUAGUAAAGAACUAUAGCCACCAAAAGAACACCUGCAAAGGCUGGAAGAUGUGGGCUUCUCCUCAAAUGCACAGGCACCGAUAUAAGGAUACAAGAUAAAAACUCAGGCAACACGGCACCAACAAAAGAAACCAAUAAAGCUUGUAUAAUAGACCCAGAAUAAAUGGAGAUCUAUGAAAUCACUGACAAAGAAUUUAGAAUAAUCCU